This 429-nucleotide ribosomal RNA is filed under the name uncultured bacterium. RNAcentral describes it as "bacterial SSU rRNA". It matches the Rfam family "Bacterial small subunit ribosomal RNA", at positions 355 to 801 of the family's 1533-position model. The record is from RNAcentral.
UCGGGAAUUUUGGGCAAUGGGGGAAACCCUGACCCAGCAACGCCGCGUGAAGGAUGAAGUAUUUCGGUAUGUAAACUUCGAAAGAAUAGGAAGAAUAAAUGACUGUACUAUUUAUAAGGUCCGGCUAACUACGUGCCAGCAGCCGCGGUAAUACGUAGGGACCAAGCGUUGUUCGGAUUUACUGGGCGUAAAGGGCGCGUAGGCGGCAAUUCAAGUCAUCUGUGAAAUCUCCGGGCUUAACUCGGAACGGUCAGAUGAUACUGCUUUGCUAGAGUGCAGAAGGGGCAAUCGGAAUUCUUGGUGUAGCGGUGAAAUGCGUAGAUAUCAAGAGGAACACCUGAGGUGAAGACGGGUUGCUGGGCUGACACUGACGCUGAGGCGCGAAAGCCAGGGGAGCAAACGGGAUUAGAUACCCACGUAGUCCCUGAG